This is a long non-coding RNA of Acinonyx jubatus (cheetah), 1012 nucleotides long. RefSeq lists it as uncharacterized. The transcript has 3 exons. The record is from RefSeq and is a predicted model, not a curated record. NCBI's taxonomy places the organism in Eukaryota, Metazoa, Chordata, Mammalia, Carnivora, Felidae.
UUGAGACAGAGAGAGACAGAGCAUGAACGGGGGAGGGUCAGAGAGAGGGAGACACAGAAUCUGAAACAGGCUCCAGGGUCUGAGCUGUCAGCACAGAGCCCGAUGCGGGGCUCGAACUCACGGACUGCGAGAUCAUGACCUGAGCCGAAGUCGGCCACUUAACCGACUGAGCCACCCAGGUGCCCCCCGGAUCGUUUUUUAACCCUUGUAUGGCGAGAAUCUCCACUUCAAAUACAUAGAAACCUUAAAAAAAAAAAACCCAAAAACAAAAAACACUCAUGGAAAAAUAAAGUACAUAAAAUUGGAAUCGCUAAUAACCAAUAAAAACCUUGCAGGACUUGGCGUGGAUAGCUCAGCUUUCUCUCACUGCCCGUUCAUCUUUGCAAGGAGCUUACAUGCAAUAAACCCCCAGCCUUCACCUUGUACCCCAUGCUCUGAGACCUUUUCUAGGCCAAGGCAGGAAGGGCAGAAGCAGGGAUUUUUGUUGGGUUUGUUUUUCAACAUUACGUUACAUUUUUCUGGUUAUGAAAACAGUAGGUACUUAUUUGAAAAUGAGGGGGGCGGGGCUAGAAAAAGUCGAAGGAAAGAAAUCUCUCACGAUUUUGUUUUUCAAAGGCAAUCAUUUCAAACAUGUUGAUGUCUUGAAAAUUCAUUUUUGUAUUUCAACCUCUGUACAUUUAGACUUUCUCUUUUUACAGAACUGUGAACUCCUGUGACAGGCAGUUGACUGGAAGAUGGGCCAGGAGAAAGGCAGGUGUAGGCUGUUUUGCAUUAUGAGUGACCAUUGCAUGCUUUUGUCAUACCCUUGGACUGAUUGACUGUCAGGACUGGAAGGGAACCUGAAAUUCAGCUGGUCUAACUACAUUGUGUACUUACUGGUGUGGAAAUUGAGUCUCCAGGAGAUGGCCUGAAUUGCUUCUAUUCACAGAGCUACUCUAGGGCAAAUCCAGACGCUGGAGUCCAAGAACAUUCUUGACUGCCUGUUUAUUAAAGCAUUGUUCUACACUCUUCC